Molecule: ribosomal RNA, 735 nt
Filed under: uncultured Actinomycetes bacterium
Lineage: Bacteria; Bacillati; Actinomycetota; Actinomycetes
Description: bacterial SSU rRNA
Rfam family: Bacterial small subunit ribosomal RNA
Source: RNAcentral
UGGUUUGAUCCUGGCUCAGGACGAACGCUGGCGGCGUGCUUAACACAUGCAAGUCGAACGGUGACCUCGAGAGCUUGCUCUUGGGUGAUCAGUGGCGAACGGGUGAGUAACACGUGAGUAACCUGCCCCAGACUCUGGAAUAACCCCGGGAAACCGGAGCUAAUACCGGAUAUGAGACGGAGAGGCAUCUCUACCGUCUGGAAAGUUCUUCGGUCUGGGAUGGACUUGCGGCCUAUCAGCUAGUUGGUCGAGGUAACGGCUCACCAAGGCGACGACGGGUAGCCGGCCUGAGAGGGCGAUCGGCCACACUGGGACUGAGACACGGCCCAGACUCCUACGGGAGGCAGCAGCUGGGGAAUAUUGCACAAUGGGCGAAAGCCUGAUGCAGCGACGCCGCGUGAGGGAUGAAGGCCUUCGGGUUGUAAACCUCUUUCAGCAGGGCAAGAAGCGAAAGUGACGGUACCUGCAGAAGCAAGCACCGGCUAACUACGUGCCAGCAGCCGCGGUAAUACGUAGGGUGCGAGCGUUGUCCGGAACUUAUUGGGCGUAAAGAGCUUGUAGGCGGUUUGUCGCGUCUGCUGUGAAAAUCCGGGGCUCAACCCCGGACUUGCAGUGGCGUACGGGCAGACUAGCAGUGUGGCUAGGGGAGACUGGAANUUCCUGGUGUAGCGGUCGCAAAUGCGCAGAUCUCAGGAGGAACACCGAUGGCGAAGGCAGGUCUCUGGGCCAUNGUAC